This 401-nucleotide ribosomal RNA is filed under the name uncultured bacterium. Its description in RNAcentral is "bacterial SSU rRNA". It matches the Rfam family "Bacterial small subunit ribosomal RNA", at positions 356 to 774 of the family's 1533-position model. The record is from RNAcentral.
AGGGAAUAUUGGUAAUGUGCGAAAGCGCGAACCAGCAACGCCGCGUGCACGAUGAAGGCCUUCGGGUUGUAAAGUGCUUUUAGAGAGGAUGAGGAAGGACAGUACUUUCUGAAUAAGCCUCGGCUAACUACGUGCCAGCAGCCGCGGUAAUACGUAGGGGGCAAGCGUUGUCCGGAUUUACUGGGUGUAAAGGGUGCUCAGGCGGAUUUGUAAGUCAGAGGUGAAAUCUUACAGCUUAACUGUGAAACUGCCUUUGAUACUGCAAGCCUAGAGUAUGGAAGAGAGUGAUGGAAUAUCUGGUGUAGCAGUGAAAUGCGUAGAUAUCAGAUAGAACACCAAUGGCGAAGGCAGUCACUUGGUCCAUUACUGACGCUAAAGCACGAAAGCGUGGGUAGCAAACA